GUUGAAGCAAUGAAGCGUGGACAGUGAUGGUGAGUACUGCUGCGGAUGAUGGAUUAUGAAAGGUGAUGAUGAUUGUGGUUGGGUGGGCCAAAUCAAAUUCCUUAUGCCUGAUGGAUGAAACGGGUUCCAGCGGGGUGAUUCUGUUGUGUUGAUAGUGUUGUUGGGUGUCCGGAUAGCAUGAUGAACGUGAGUGAAGAGUUUUGUAUAUCUGGCUAGUCGUGCUCAAUGGUGUUGUUUAUGGGUAUGGUGAUGAAUAAAGAAAGGAGGUGCUACCCAGAGAUUAUGGAGGCCUCCCCUGAAGAUUGUGGUUGGUUGGGAUAAUGAGGUUUGGUGAGAAUGAAGAUAGAUGAAAAAUGAUGGAAUCUGUUGGAGGUGAGUCCUGGGAGUGGACGGGAGUGUCGUUUUUUAGGAUUGUUACUGGUUUUUUUUGCAGAAAGGCCAUGUGUGUGUAUGAUUCUGUUGGGGUUGUUAGCUGUGAUGGUAAUUCUGUUGCUGGUCUAGAAUCUCCUUUUUCAAAAAAAAAAAAUGUAUUGGUAUGAUGAUGAUGGAAACGUAUAGAGGUGGGGGUGUGUGUGUUAGGAGAAUGAUAAAAUGGUGAGGAAGCAAGGGUGGUUAAUUGGGAUCAUGAGGUCGUGUGCGUGUUGCCUCUGUUGAUAGGGGAACCAUUUCUUUUUUCUCAAAGAACAAUGAUCACAUUUCUUUUUCUUUUUUCAUUUUCAUUUUUUUUUCAUUUCUUUUCUUUUUUCUUUUUCCCUUUUUUUCUUCUUCUUUUCGUAAUCAUUUUUCUUCUCUUUUUU
RNAcentral lists this long non-coding RNA (797 nucleotides) under Vigna radiata. RNAcentral's name for it is "long non-coding RNA (VRAD_LNC003381)". Lineage: Eukaryota; Viridiplantae; Streptophyta; Magnoliopsida; Fabales; Fabaceae. The record is from RNAcentral.